UUAAUCAAAAAAAAAAAAAAAAACUCAGAUCCUGUGCUUUAAAAGUGUAUUACUUAAAAAAAUCUGCUUUGGUCUUUUGUAUGAGUUUGUAGUUUUAGUGCACUUGUAGUUAAAUCCUGUACUGGACCACCUAAACUGAACUUGCUUUUCCCUUCACUCACAUACCCCUCACCCUCACACACGGCUCCACAAGUCAUAAAAUCAAAAGAAAGAGGUUCAGGAGAUGAAGUCCCUCGGCCCUCUACUUCUCCCAUUGCAUCAAACACACCUGCAAAUACCAAUGAAGGUAAAGCCAACAUCAUCUCAUCAAACUCACACUCCUGCAUUAUUAUACUCUCAUGCACAAUCUCUCACACUCUGACCUCCAGCUUCCUAUCAUGCCAUGCCAGACAAACGUCACUAAACAAGAGAUUUAUUAAUUUACAUUUGAUUGACUGAUUGAUUGAUUGAUUGAUUGAUUGAAAGUGAGGCUAG
This is a long non-coding RNA of Cyprinus carpio (common carp), 474 nucleotides long. NCBI's taxonomy places the organism in Eukaryota, Metazoa, Chordata, Actinopteri, Cypriniformes, Cyprinidae. The record is from Ensembl.